GACGAACGCUGGCGGCGUGCCUAACACAUGCAAGUCGAGCGGUAACAGGUGUAGCAAUACAUGCUGACGAGCGGCGGACGGGUGAGUAACGCUUGGGAAUCUGCCUAUUAGUGGGGGACAACCCGGGGGAACUCGGGCUAAUACCGCAUACGCUCUACGGAGGAAAGCCGGGGACCGCAAGGCCUGGCGCUAAUAGAUGAGCCCAAGUCGGAUUAGCUAGUUGGUAGGGUAAUGGCCUACCAAGGCGACGAUCCGUAACUGGUCUGAGAGGACGACCAGUCACACCGGAACUGAGACACGGUCCGGACUCCUACGGGAGGCAGCAGUGGGGAAUAUUGGACAAUGGGCGAAAGCCUGAUCCAGCGACGCCGCGUGGGUGAAGAAGGCCUGCGGGUUGUAAAG
RNAcentral lists this ribosomal RNA (402 nucleotides) under uncultured bacterium. RNAcentral describes it as "bacterial SSU rRNA". It matches the Rfam family "Bacterial small subunit ribosomal RNA", at positions 28 to 430 of the family's 1533-position model. The record is from RNAcentral.